Molecule: transfer RNA, 74 nt
Filed under: Bos taurus (domestic cattle)
Lineage: Eukaryota; Metazoa; Chordata; Mammalia; Artiodactyla; Bovidae
Also listed under: 5 other names
Rfam family: tRNA
About the family: Transfer RNA (tRNA) molecules are approximately 80 nucleotides in length.
Source: Rfam by way of RNAcentral
UCCCUGGUGGUCCAGUGGUUAAGACCCCAUGCUUCCAAAGCAGGGGGGCACAGGUUCAAACCCUGGUCAGGGAA